GGGUCUUAGCUCAGUGGAAGAGCAUUUGCCUUACAGGGCAGACAGUCUCAGGUUCAAUCCCUGACAUCUCCA
Podarcis lilfordi (Lilford's wall lizard) is the source of this 72-nucleotide non-coding RNA. The record is from the annotation of a GenBank genome assembly. Lineage: Eukaryota; Metazoa; Chordata; Lepidosauria; Squamata; Lacertidae.